This is a long non-coding RNA of Orbicella faveolata, 827 nucleotides long. NCBI's taxonomy places the organism in Eukaryota, Metazoa, Cnidaria, Anthozoa, Scleractinia, Merulinidae. The record is from RefSeq and is a predicted model, not a curated record.
CAACUUUUAGAGAAAUUGCGGGCAACUUUAUGGGAAAUCUUGAGCAACUUGUGGAAAGCCCUAACUUUGGUGAUUCGCUGUUGUCGGAAGUUUUUUUGGUUGUUAAAUUUAUGUGUGUCUACAUCAACGUGCAACACCCUGCGAAGAACAAAAAAAACAACUCUGGAGUAUUUCUUGCAAAAUGAUAAAACAUGUUUUUGAGUGUGUUCAGUUUUAUGUGUUUCCACCUUCCUCUGAUAUGAAUCCAUGCCAUUCCAUAAUUUUUGGUCGGGAUCACUUGCGGUCCAAUAUGGGGAUCAUUUCCGGUCCGAGACCAUUUUCCGGGAUCUUUUGCGGCCCGUACAUCUAAUCCAUAUCACUCAACCUCUUCGAACAAAACAAAAGAGACUAUUUUUAGUUCCCUGUUAAGCUCGCAUAUCACGUGUUAUUGUGUAACUCACGCGGCGUCGUGAAAAUGUAAACACUGUAAACGCGGCAUUAUUCGACAGCACCUCGGUGCGUGCGUGCAUUUGUUUCGUGUAGAAACCGGCCUUUGCUGUGUGCAACUGGGUUUUGUGAACUUCUCUAGUGAUGAUGCUUCAUUUAGCCAAGAACGUGCGCAGCUCUCGACAUACCUGGGUACCAGUCCUCCAGCGAUGUUUCUCGGCAGUGGCACUUAGUGAUCACAAACAAAUACGUACAAUGGAAUGUCAGAAUGGCGAAAAGGUGAAACCGACUUUCUCGUCCCAGGAAAUGCAGCGCCGUCUGCACAUGAUACGACACCACAUGGAGGCAAAUGAAAUUGACGCAUGCGUAUUCACGUCCUAUCACAACGUUCACUAUUUCAG